CAAGAGUGGAGGAUCAAACCAACAGUGUCAUCCAGCCAUUGAUAAUCACUGAAAGCAUGGUGACCGCACUCAUGUGCUAUGACCCAAACACCGGUGAGAACACAGCCCUGAACGUACCAGAAAAUCGGCCAUGCCAAGAAGGAUAGAGGUUGAGACAGAUUCUGAAUGUAGGUGGAAGCAAUGUAGUAAAGGAUAGAGGCAAUGGUGAGGUCAUAAAAGACAUAGGAGAAGGAGCGGAUAACAGAGCGCUGAAAACAAUGAGGUGGGAUGGCUUUCUUGACCUCACCGAGGCUGAACGGAGGCUUAGAGUACGGAACUCUCUUGUGGGUGUCAGCAUCCGCAUUUUUGCGCACAGGGGGCGCAACCAUUCUUCCACCGGCACCCAUUGUUCCCAAAUCUGCCAAGAACAAAGAGUCAAACAGCUGAAAAUAAUGUAAAAUUACAGAUUUCAGAUCUCAAAUAUUCCUCCCUUUAAGCACUUGAAAGUUAAUAAUACAGAAAAAAAAAGACAGAACAAAAGUUACUUGAAAAAAUAUGACCAACCAAUCAAGAUUUAUAAUAUAUUGCAGUUUGAAGCCUGACACGACAACCACUCAAAAUUAGAACACAAACAUGGACGGACCAAAACAAACGUUGACAGGCAAGUGGAAUAUUCCAAAAAAUCCAACGUUACAACUUGAAGAACAGUAAGAAGCCCACGACAAGAUCGCUUCUCACUGGCAAAGACAGAGACGGCAAGACCAACAAGUUGAUACAAGUUCCGGAGGGCUUAAACUCCUUGAUUAAGUCGUAAUUGGCAAUUUGACUACCACAUUAAACCAAAUCAAACGACCCAAACACAUAAUCCAAAACGACAACUCCAUCUAUUUUUUAGUAUAUAGCUACUGAAAAACGCAUAUUUCGUUUUCUUGUUAUAGGUUUAAUCACUAUUUGAGGCACUUCUUCUGUCUCCUUGCAUCAGUACAACUGAUGCAGAUCGUCUGCCUCCUGUUUGAUGCCUUUCUCGUCCUCUUUUAUUUUAUGCGAUCACGGUUAAACCACGUCAACAUUUUAUAUUAAUUUUUUAUAAAGAUAAUAAGAUAAAAAAUAAUAAGAAUAUAAAAUAUUGACGUAACUUAACUGUAACGGCACGAAUAAGAGAAAAUGAAAAGGACACCUAAAUCGGGCAGACAAUCUGCCUCCCAGUACAACAAGGAAUCACUUGUGGAAAUGCAACGCUCAAAACUUAAAACAACAACAAAGCACUGUUAAUAAAAGGGAAAAUUAGACUAUAUACAAAAGCACCUUUUGACUUGUUCGGUUGUGAUUAGGACCCACAUCUUUAAUUAAUCAAAAUCAUAAGCAUCAAAGCUGCUGCGUCUGAAAGCAAUCCACCGUACUAGAAAAUAUCAAAGUUUACAAUUGACAAGGAAUUCAAACGAAAAAUCUUUGAACAAAAUCAAGUACACGUAACCUGCAGAAAAUGUAUUUGAUUCGCGUCCCAAUAUCGUGGCCUUAAACACGAUUAACUAAAUAAUAAUCUUAAUAUAUGUAUAUAUAAAAAGUGAGAAAGUUUGAAACUUUAAAUUGAAAAAAAGACCAUUACCACAGAAGCUAUUUUCUAAGCAUGAUUCGCUUUACAAUUAGGCUUUGAUUUUGACUAAUUAUACCUCAUUCACCUUGUCAAUUACCAAAACACCCAGAUUGUUUUGUUGCCAACGAAUUUUAAUUUGGUAAAAUCACAUCGUUUUCAGAGUAUUCCCCAAAAAACUGUUGCAAUACAUGGUGUUUCUCGUUGGUUUUUUUCCUAAUUUUCAACCCAAAAGCCGCCCAACUUUUCCAAAUUUACAGCAAAUAAAACUAAAGCUUGUCAGAAAAUGUGCACACAUGCCGGGACUCGGUCGCAACCCAUUUAACGAAUUGUUAAACGCGGCGUUGCAGGCGGAACGAAGACGGAAGGG
RNAcentral lists this long non-coding RNA (1940 nucleotides) under Malus domestica (apple). Its description in RNAcentral is "long non-coding RNA (MDOM_LNC011141)". Lineage: Eukaryota; Viridiplantae; Streptophyta; Magnoliopsida; Rosales; Rosaceae. The record is from RNAcentral.